CUGUAAGUGGUAGGAUUCUCAGCUAUUUCUCAAGCACCACGUCUGACUGCAUGCUGUCAUGCUCUCUGUCAUGAUGAUAAUGGAAUGAACCUCUGGAACUAAGAAGCAUCCUUAAGCCAAGCCUGGUGGUCCAAGACUGCAAUUCUUGCUACUUAGAAGGCUGAGACAGGAGGAUCCCAACUUCAAUUUCUGACGGAUUCUAGGGCUUUGCCGGCAAGAGCCUCCCUGGCUGAUGAUCAUCCUGCAUGCUACCACGGAGUGAGUUGGAUUCCGAGAGUUGGCUUGGUUUCUAAAGACCUGCCAGCUCCAAUUGUGACAGAGGAGUGCAUAAACAACCCAAAGGGGGAGAGAAUGGGCCUGGGGUGACAGAGACCACCAGAGUUUCCCAAAGAAAGCUCUGUCUCAUGUCUUGGAUGAGUCACUGAUAUUAGCACUGGGGAAUAGCAUCAAGGCAAGAGGCUGUGUGCCUCUUUGCAUCUGAACACUUCAGGCUAUCACUCUUUGCUUGGAGGAAGAGCUGUCAUCCACCUGUCCAUCGUGAUUGACUUAGACGCAUUGGUUCUUAAAAGUGACCCAGUAUUGCAGAAUAUUCCUUUAUACUGUGUGAAGAUAUGCUGUUGUGAUUGGUUUAAUAAAAAGCUAACGGACCAAUAGCUAAGCAGGAUUUGGGGGGCAGAGAGAGUGCUGGGAAGAAGAAGGGCAGAAAAGCCAAUCAGACUGAGUCAGACACAUAAAAUGGAAUAGAGCUACUUGGUAGAAUGGAGAUUAAUAAAAAUAUGGACUAAUUUAAGUCAUAAGAGCUAGAUAGGAACAGAG
Non-coding RNA from Cricetulus griseus (Chinese hamster), 816 nucleotides. The record is from RefSeq and is a predicted model, not a curated record. Lineage: Eukaryota; Metazoa; Chordata; Mammalia; Rodentia; Cricetidae.